CGUCUAUAUACGUAUAGCAUAUCAAUAAGCGGAGGAAAAGAAACUAACUAAGGAUUCCCUCAGUAACGGCGAGUGAAGCGGGAAGAGCUCAAAUUUGAAAUCUUCAAGGUUUUACCUUGACGAAUUGUAGUUUAAAGAAGUGUUUUCUGUUGGUGUUUUGGUAAAAGUUCUUUGGAAUAGGACAUCAUAGAGGGUGAGAAUCCCGUAUUUGACCAUUACUUCCAGCGUUGUGAUACACUUUCAAAGAGUCGGAUUGUUUGGGAAUGCAGUCCAAAAUGGGUGGUAAAUUUCAUCUAAAGCUAAAUAUUGGCGAGAGACCGAUAGCGAACAAGUACCGUGAGGGAAAGAUGAAAAGAACUUUGAAAAGAGAGUUAAACAGUACGUGAAAUUGUCAAAAGGGAAGCGUUUGACACCAGUGUUGUUUUUCCGAAAAUCAAUUACGAAUGUUUUGUUUUUAAGAAGUUAUGACUUCAUCGGCUUGCUUCUUUCUUUAUGAAACUUUCUUAAUGCACUUUUCGGUUAACAAGUCAACAUCAAUUUCUUUUGUUGUAAAAGGGUAUGAGGAAGGUGGCUUUCUUUUCGGAGAAAGUGUUUAUAGCCUUGUGCCUCUGCAAUCGGAGAGAUUGAGGUCUGCAGCGUAGAUCCUUCGGGGUUAGAUACAUUUGUGCUAAGUUGUAGCUUUUCAUAGACAACUUGUUGACUAUGUUUAGUCAUGCGGCUUACUCGCUUGUGCUAUUUUACCUACGCUUAGAUGUUGACUGAUAUGUAGUCGUA
This 774-nucleotide ribosomal RNA is filed under the name uncultured Neocallimastigales. Its description in RNAcentral is "partial large subunit ribosomal RNA". It matches the Rfam family "Eukaryotic large subunit ribosomal RNA", at positions 26 to 644 of the family's 3401-position model. Lineage: Eukaryota; Fungi; Neocallimastigomycota; Neocallimastigomycetes; Neocallimastigales. The record is from RNAcentral.